Molecule: non-coding RNA, 5553 nt
Organism: Zonotrichia albicollis (white-throated sparrow)
Lineage: Eukaryota; Metazoa; Chordata; Aves; Passeriformes; Passerellidae
Source: RefSeq, a predicted model, not a curated record
UAGCCAACCCUGGAUGAUCUCAGAAGGAAUGAUGAAGGUUUGUUAUACCCCAAGUUGGCCAAACCUGGAUGAUCUCAGAAGGAAUGAUGAAGGUUUGUUAUACCCCAAGUUGGCCAAACCUGGAUGAUCUCAGAAGGAAUGAUGAAGGUUUGUUAUAUCCCAAGUUGGCCAAACCUGGGUGAUUUCAGAAGGAAUUAUGAAGGUUUGUUAUAUAUCAGGUUUGCCAAACCUGGAUGAUUUCAGCAGGAAUGAUGAAGGUGAGCCUGGAAAGAGCCAGAGAGGGAACAGCAAAGCCACCAGAGGAAUGUGACAACAAACUCCAGAGAGCAAAGGCAGUGCCAUGGAGGGGGAGGCUUGGGCACCUGUUGUGACAGCUGUGACUAAGCAUACAAUGACCAGAUCAGGGUGAAUAAUGAGACAAUCUGCUCAUUUAAGAGUGGAUAUACAAACCCAGCAGGGACAUGAAACUGUUUUGCUUUGUUUUACUGAUAAUGUGUUAUUGGAGUCAUGUCUCUGGCUGUGUCCUAGAGUGGGUUCAAAACAAUUACUUACAUAACACAGGAUAUAUUUAAGUCAGGGAAAAGCAGGGAGGGAGAAAUGUGUGUAUCUCAAUUUCUGGUUAAGAAGGAAAAUGAAAUUAUGUUUUUCCCAAUAGAUUUAUUGAUUCCCCUUUUUCCAGCACGGGAAUCUCCAUCUCAAGGGCUGGAUCCCCCUUGCAAAACUUGAGCUGCAAAGUAAUCAAUGAACAAGACGAAGCCCUGCAUCCCCCCCUUCCCAGCUGCUGGUUCCUACCCUAACAACCAUUAAUUAUUCUAAUAGCAAACUCCUUAAAAAUAACUCAAUCAAUGCAUUCUCCAGAAGUUGGAGCCCAUCUCUGGAUGCCUCUAGCCUGGUCCAUGGUGGCCAGGCAAUAACUGAUGCAAGCCCUGAGGUGCUGUUCCCUUGUAGUGCUCUGCUUUAGGAGGGGUCAGAUGUCUUCUGGAUCAACUUUGGGGUAGAUUUUGAGGUGGCAAAUGUGCUGCUUUCAAAAAUUUCUUCCAUGGGUGAAAGAAAAUUGUGCUUGCCGCUCACAGAGCAGAGUAAUGCGCAAAACAACAAAAGGAAAAAUUAAACUCACAAAGCCAAGAAACAGCAAAGUCCAGGGCAGCUGCCCAUGCUGCAAACCUGAUUCACAAGUGAUGGCAUUCCAUGAAAUAGUGACCACCCCUGCUUUAAUUUCAAAUUAAAACCAUAUUGAGAAACUUGGAAUACAAAGACAAGAUUUGUGGGAUGUAAAUACCUGGUGAGUGCAGCCAACCAGCACAAAAUAUCUUUGGAGGGAGCUCAGUCCCUGCUGGAGUCCCUGUGCCUACAGAUCAUCGUGUACAGGGAGUAAUUACAGCAGGGUUUGUCAACUAAUUUGGUGGAGGGAUGAAUUCUUUAUCUAUUAAUCAAUGUAGGGAAGCAUGAAGCACCUAUAAACCAUUCAUCUCACUUUAGCUUCUUGUUUACCUUUAAUUAGAGUUGCUCUGAUUUGAUUGGGGAAAAUGGAGGUACCUUGGAAUAGAGAGGUGUCAGCUGGGGCAUCUUGGACAGCCCUUCCUGCUGUGGGAUCCUCAGGGAAAUGGGUUGGCUAGUUUGGAUUUUUAUUUCCAAAAUGUGCACCGAUAAAAUGUUCACAGGGUAAGACCCCUAAAUCAGAGGUAAAUAAAAAGAUGGUUACAGUGCCAGCACCUCACCAAUGAGAAGGAAGUUUAUAGCAGUGUGAAUUAAUUAAUGUCUCAUUUACAUCUGCUAUGGGUCAUCCCUCUUUUCUCGUUUUUCCCAUUCCUUUUUUAUUAUAUUUAUGCACAAGGAAGUUAUUUAUUAGGAAAAUUUCAUUUCUUUGCCUAUUUCUUUGUCUACAGUUGAAAGAGAGUAAACCAAUGUUUUUAUUAUGCUUUUAUUUUAUUUUUUUCCCUUUUAAAAUUGUUUACCUUUUUCCCAGAGUUUCCAGGAGGAUUAUAGGUAAGGCUGUGACACCUAUACAGAGUUAUGGGAUGUUUUAUAACUGAUGUGUUAUGUGCAAUGCAGGUAAAUGCAACUGCAAGCACAGGAAGUCCCAGUGGGUCACUCACAUUUCAUUUCAUUUUAGCUUGACUUUAAAUCAGUGAUAUUUAAUAUUUUUUUAUAAGAGAACUCUUAAAAAUGCUUUUAUAAAAUGAAAAGUCCUGGUUAAGCCUUGGAGUCCUACACAGCAGUGUGGAAACCUGCAGCUUCACUAAAAACCAUGCAGUAAAUGUGCCGUUCCUUGGUGCAUGCUUAUUAUGGGUAAAUAUUGUUCUCUGGGUAGUGCCUGGAAAUUGUAAUUAAUUUCAAAUACUCCCUCUUUUUGUCCACGUAUGCAGAUUUCAAAUCUGUGCCUGCGCCGGUUUUGACACCGUGCAAUGAAGCAUCCGAGCUCUCAGAUGUCUGGCUCUUCCGAGUUGUGAAAUGAGAAAACAAACAAACCCAACCAUUCCAGCCCUGUCAAUCUCCUUCUCAGUGGACAGAUGCCCUGGUGCCAGAAAAGCUUCAUCCCAUGAUCCCACACCUCUUGGCAGUGCCAAAAGAAAUGCCAGAGAUCUACUGGAUGCGAAAGCACGACAGUUCCUCACCCCAAAAAUAGGAUUUAUGGAAAAAUGGGCCACACUGGAGCUCCUGGGCGAGGCUGUGUGGGGAAAUGUGUGCAGCCUCUUGUUCUGACAUUCCUGGUCUCCAGAUCAUCCAUCUGAUUUGCUCCUGGAGCAAGGUGCCUCUGGGCAGUGAUGGAUUAACUGGAGAGGGUCCAGGUUUCUGGAAUGAGCCAGGCUAAGAAUUUGCCAAGGGCAUCAACAGCAGUUUUCCCAGGCUCCAGCACAAGGAUUAUGUAGUCAAUCCACAAAUGACUCAAAUCUUUGAAGAGAAGGACAUGGUUAUCAGAGAGGCUUUGACGACAGCAAGGACGGGAGUGCUAUCUGCCUUUUUCCAUCAGAGAUCCCCUUUCCCUCUCAUUAACAUACCCCGGACAUCAGCACAGCCAUCGGCCCGAGGGAAUCGCUUCCAGCUUUUAAGGGAAUAUUCACAAGACCUCGCCCCUGCGUUGUCUCAGACAGAUCAAACCAGAUUUGCCUCGUGUAAGGGUUUUUCAGUCCCACUGAAGAUGUGAUGUGAAAGCUGCUGCUGCUGUAAGUGGGGAGAGGAGAUGCCUCUACCUGCUCCCUGCCAGUGCCCUGCAAUGAAAAAUGCUUUUGGAGCAACACUGGAAAUAAGCCAUCAAAAUAUCUGAUUAAACCUCUUAGGAAACUCUCACUAAUCACCUUCUCUGCUCUUGAUGGAAUGUAUUUAUGCAUUAUAAAUAUACUUACUAUGUGUGUGUGCUCCAUAAAUCACACCCAGCACUUGUAUGUGAUGUAUAAGCACAUUCUAUAGAACACACACAAAUACAGAUGCCAAGCUCCCACAGAGUUCAUCACUGGAAAGUGUUUGAAGGAUCUGAUCCUUAAUAUUUAAUGAGCAAGAUGCUAUUUCCUUCCUCAGCUUUUAUCUCUGGUUUGGCAUAGUCAUUAAAUUUGUUGUUUCCUUGCAGGAUUAUAUAAUUUAUGACCUAAUUUUAGACUUUUGUGUAGCCGCGUUGAAACACUCGUGGCGUAUCCCGGUUUCUCCACACGGAGUGUUCCAGCAUCAGCCACCAGCUCCAGCACGAAUUCUGUGAGCUGCCUGUCAGCAAGGAGUCACAGGCAUGAAAGGAAAACAGCCCAACAAUAUCCAGGCGGCAUUAUAAGAUUAGUUUGUGGGGGGUUUUGCCCUGCAAAAAAAUAUGAUUUAGCAGCGUUUCCAAAGCUGUCUGCAGUGCUGGCAGGAAUCCCCAGGCCUGCUGGGUGAGUUUGAUCCAGUUCCAGCCAGGAUGCAAAGCUGAGCAUCCACAGCCAUCACUCUCCUGCUAUUGACAGUAGAUUUUGCUGUCUUCCAAAUAUCCAGAUUUUAUUAAUAAUGAGAAUUUUGAGGAAUAGGACUUUAUUCUGCCCACAACACUUUGUAAAUUCAGAGUAUGCUGAUUUGAGCAAUAACUAGCUAGAAAAGGUGUUUUCCUUCUGUCAACCUAAAUGAAUAAAAUUGGAAAUGUAUCCUCAGUGUUCAUCCACCAGAAUAUCCACUUUAUUAAGUGUUAAAAGUUUUUCAUGAUACUGAACCAAAACUUAUGUGUCUUUUAGGGAUUUUUGUGGCAUGGUUAAAAACAUUGACAGGAAGUUUCUAACGUGGUAAAUUUCAAAGGAUCAUUUUAUGAGUUUUUAAAUUGUGAUCCUGGAGUUUCUUCCCUUUCCAGUUUUUCAAAAGGUGGAAUUAAAAAAACCCAAAAGACAGGCAGAAGCAGCUGGAUGCUUUUAUAGGUAAAAUAGUGAGAAGAGGCUGAGAAGUGUGGGUGAUUUGGUUUAGUGGAUGUGGUGGAAUUGGGUCAAAGAUUGGAAUGGACAAUCUUGGAAGUCUUUUCCAAACUUAGUGAUUUUGUGAUUUUGUUGUGUGAAUUACAGAGUCUCAGGGUAGCAAACACCCCAUGGAGCUGCUCUGACUUAGGGAAAAUUCCUUUUCUAUAUUAGUUUUGAUUCCAGAGUUGUAUUUAACCUCAGUGUAGAAGCAGAGCUAAGGGAAGAGCAGGCCAUUGGCACUUAAUGUUUUAUGCCUUUAUUUUUUUCCUUUAGGAAACAAAUCUCCCCUUUUUGAGGGGAUAAAGUGCAAUGGGAAUAGGACGGCUCAGUGGAGAAUUCCUUGUGGCAGAAGGAUGGGCGGCAUGGAGAUUUCUGAGAUGUCUUGGAUGUCACUUCCAUCAAGUAGAAGGAAUGUUAUGCUAAACUCUUCAUCAAAACUGAGACCUCACGGAUUAUUUUGUUGGAAAGUCAAGAAAACAACAACUGAUUUUUUUCCCCAGGGCAGAGAUUUUGUGUUAGAGGAGAAAAUGAGAAAACAACCAGACCCCAAAAGAGGGAAAAAGGGAAAACCUGAGAUUAGAGAAGGGAAAAGGUAUCAAAAGAAAUUUGAUGAAGCCCUAAUUGUGUCCAAAAUCCAUGAUUGUUUGGAAAUCCAAGGAACUACUGUUGCAUUAUCUGUUCAGACGGGCUCUAUAAUCAGAAAAUCCUCAUCUCCUACAUCCAGCUUUCAAGAGUUCAGUCUAUUCAGUUCUGGAAUCUCAAAAGACAGGGAAAACACCUGGAUUUAUGGUGCUUGGGAGUAUUGGGAUUAGAUGCAAGCAGCUGGGUUUUCCAGGAAGGUUAUUCUGGAAUUUUUGAGUAACACAAGUUCUGGCACAGUGCUGGGGGUGGUGUGGGUACAGGAGCACUGUCAGGUGGACUUGAAACUGGAAAGAUUCCUUGUCACAUAACUGAUCCCAAAUUUCACUUGGGAUUUUUUUACCAAGUUUCCAUUCCCAUUGCAAAUAUAUGGAUAACAUGUUUAGGCACUAUCCUUAAAAAAGUAAAGAAAUAAUUUCUUUAAGAGAUGGGUGAUCUGUAGAAGACAUUUAUGUAAUUUUACAUUCUAAAUGUGAUUUAUAUUUAUAAAUAAAUUUGCAUAAAACCUCCA